UAAAACAAACGGUUUUACAUCUUGCAGUACAGAGGAAACACUUACGCCCAUAAUGUCACCAUUCUGGAAUCCAUCCGCACGUUUUGUAAAAAUGUGCCUCUAAAAGCGUCGUCAUGCGCGAGACCACAAACACUGAAUUGCUCAGGGUGGAACGAUAUGCCAGAGAUCCUGGUUUUGGUUCAAAUUGGGUACAGUAAGAGGGGAGAAAAUGUGCUCAUUUUUUGUGCAAACAGCAAAAGUUUAAUGACAUUUAAAAUGGAACGUCUACAGACGAACAUUUUUUUUAUGAUUUGGUUACCGGUUUUGGUCCAUUUUAUGUUAUAAAAUGGGCAGAAAUAUUGAUCAUUGUUUUCCGGUUUAAAAGCAGACGUUUGCAAAUGAUUUAUUUUGAUUAAACAAAACCAUAAUCCGUCUGUUUUAAUAGAGGAAUAAAGAAAUCUGAGAAAAUCUAUUGUUGAGAUACUGAAAUUCUGAGGAUUUGGACACAUUUUGGUCCCUAAACCAUGAAUAGAUUUUCAAAAAGAAUGACAGAUUAAUUCCAAAAAUAAACCCGAAAACAACAACACGAGUUACAGUUUGUCCAUGGCAACGAGUUGGUAUGUGAAUUUGGGUCAAUCGCCAAGUGUGGGCCGCUGACAGUAAUUUGUUUGACUGUGCAGUUCAGUCACAUUCGGCUGAGUUGAGAGAACAAGUACCUUAGCGGCAAGAAGGCCUUUGGCAGCCAGCGCGUCUUCACCUUUACUGUUGGGAAAGCAGUGGUACUCGGCCUCCACGAAGGGGAACCGGCUGGCCAGGAAGAGGCCGCUGUUGAAGAACUUAAAAGAG
Hippocampus comes (tiger tail seahorse) is the source of this 825-nucleotide long non-coding RNA. RefSeq lists it as uncharacterized. The transcript is spliced from 2 exons. NCBI's taxonomy places the organism in Eukaryota, Metazoa, Chordata, Actinopteri, Syngnathiformes, Syngnathidae. The record is from RefSeq and is a predicted model, not a curated record.